AUUGAACGCUGGCGGCAUGCUUUACACAUGCAAGUCGAACGGCAGCGCGGGCUUCGGCCUGGCGGCGAGUGGCGAACGGGUGAGUAAUACAUCGGAACGUGCCCAGUAGUGGGGGAUAGCCCGGCGAAAGCCGGAUUAAUACCGCAUACGACCUGAGGGUGAAAGCGGGGGAUCUUCGGACCUCGCGCUAUUGGAGCGGCCGAUGGCAGAUUAGCUAGUUGGUGGGGUAAAGGCCUACCAAGGCGACGAUCUGUAGCUGGUCUGAGAGGACGACCAGCCACACUGGGACUGAGACACGGCCCAGACUCCUACGGGAGGCAGCAGUGGGGAAUUUUGGACAAUGGGCGAAAGCCUGAUCCAGCAAUGCCGCGUGUGUGAUGAAGGCCUUCGGGUUGUAAAGCACUUUUGGCGGGAACGAAAAGGACUGUGCCAAUACCACGGUUCGAUGACGGUACCCGCAGAAUAAGCACCGGCUAACUACGU
Molecule: ribosomal RNA, 483 nt
Filed under: uncultured bacterium
Lineage: Bacteria
Description: partial 16S ribosomal RNA
Rfam family: Bacterial small subunit ribosomal RNA
Source: RNAcentral